RNAcentral lists this non-coding RNA (28 nucleotides) under Rattus norvegicus (Norway rat). The record is from RNAcentral. Lineage: Eukaryota; Metazoa; Chordata; Mammalia; Rodentia; Muridae.
UGAAUCAUCAAGAGUCUUGAGAGAUAGC